AGUGCAGUACCCCUGCCCUAUCAGCUGACGCAGUGUAUUGCCGUUGGGAAUAUACGAGUAUAUGGGAGCAUUGUCUCCUUCGCAGCCAUAUCUUACAUCCAAGCAUACAUAUAUGUAUAUAUACAAGGGUGUGUAUCAGUUGAGCGAAAAACACACAUUUUCUGAAACCCCAAGAUUUGGUCUUCGAAAACAUUCAGUGUCAGGCAGCUGUUUGCGGUGGAAAACUUUCCAUUAAAAACAAGGUCUUGCCUUAGCUCGUUUUUGUGCCCCCAUGUCACACUUAUUUACAAACAAGCUGUUCUAUAUUUUAAAACUUUGAUUUUCGCAGUCAUUGCAACAACAGUCGUUCAAAAGCUCACCAGAAAAGAGAAAAUAAAAUAGUCUGUAGUAAUGUGUUUUGCACUGCUUUUACUCAAAAUGUAUUUAUGUAUCUCAAUGGAAUUCUUAAUUUUCAGGGUGCUAGUAUAUAGACAUUUAUAUUAUAACAGCAUAUACAUAAGUAAAAUGAUGUAAAAUGCUACCGAACAAAGUGAAGCGACAGAUCCGUGAAGUGAGAUACAUAUGUACCAAUAUAUAUUAUAUUAAGUUCUUA
Drosophila simulans is the source of this 592-nucleotide long non-coding RNA. RefSeq lists it as uncharacterized. The record is from RefSeq and is a predicted model, not a curated record. Lineage: Eukaryota; Metazoa; Arthropoda; Insecta; Diptera; Drosophilidae. The transcript has 2 exons.